RNAcentral lists this ribosomal RNA (254 nucleotides) under uncultured bacterium. Its description in RNAcentral is "partial 16S ribosomal RNA". It matches the Rfam family "Bacterial small subunit ribosomal RNA", at positions 524 to 776 of the family's 1533-position model. The record is from RNAcentral.
CACGUAGGGGGCAAGCGUUGUCCGGAUUUAUUGGGCGUAAAGAGCUCGUAGGUGGUUCGGUAAGUCGGGUGUGAAACCUCCAGGCUCAACCUGGAGACGCCACCCGAUACUGCUGUGACUAGAGUCCGGUAGGGGAGCGUGGAAUUCCUGGUGUAGCGGUGAAAUGCGCAGAUAUCAGGAGGAACACCGGUGGCGAAGGCGGCGUUCUGGACUGCAACUGACACUGAGGAACGAAAGCCAGGGGAGCAAACGGG